Mus musculus (house mouse) is the source of this 4308-nucleotide long non-coding RNA. RefSeq annotates it as predicted gene, 52767. NCBI's taxonomy places the organism in Eukaryota, Metazoa, Chordata, Mammalia, Rodentia, Muridae. The record is from RefSeq and is a predicted model, not a curated record. The transcript is spliced from 3 exons.
UGCAAGAGUCUUUUCUGCUCAGCCACAUCACUGGCCCUGGGUGGAGUUUGAAGGAAGUCAAAGGGAGAACAUCCUUCCAAUCUGACUGCAACUGGAAAAGUCCUGGAGACAAACAGUCACACCUUGGCCACCAAGUGACACAGACACACCAACCAAAGGGAGAACUGCUCCUGGUUACCAGCGUCUCCACAGCAAAGCUUCCCCAUGAAUAGGAAGUCACAACAGUGAAGUUACAGACACAACUGUCCCAGCCUCCCCUUCCACUGUGUGGAGCCGCUCAUCAUGGGACUCAUUCUCCCUCAUCAGAGGGGAGGCCUCACCGUAGCGGAUCGGAUCGGCUUCUCCCCACUUAGUGGUUUUGGUAGUUUCUAUUUAUAGUUUAGCUCCUCUGCAGAAGGUCAAGACUGACACUUUCUUUUUAAGGGUCUUGCUGAACGCAGAGCCCACAGACCCAGGCCUGUCUGUCUAGGUGACUUCACCUGGGGAUCACUGGCUUUGGCUCUGGAGUACUGGGCCUCACACUUGGUGCUUUUCACGUGGCUUCUUCAAGAUCAUUUUAAGAAUCUCUCCUAUUUAAACUUUCAUGAUGCUGUAUUGGUAUUGGUCUUUCUUCUUGUUUUGCUCUGAUCUGGGCUGUGAUGUGUGGAACUGCCCUCGUUGUCCCCCACCUCCUGUCACCUUUCCUCAUGGCCUUCCUUGCUGGACUCAUGGUAGUUUGAGGUUGAGCCUCCUGGUUUGAUUUUCUCCUUUUCUUUUUGAAUAAGUGUGUGCUUGUGCACAUGGAGGUGCACAUGCAUGCGCACAUAUGGGGGUGUGUAUGUGCAUGCAGUGUGCACAUGUUGUAUGUGCGUGUGGAGGGAGGCCAGAGGACAACCUCCAGUUUCAUUCUCCCCAAUACCACCUGACUCCUUUGAGUCAGGGUCUCUCUUUGGCCUGGAGCUCACCAGUUAGUCUAGACCAACUGGGUAGUCAGCCUAUGCAGGAAUCCCGUGUCUUUCCUUCCUUGGGCUGUCAUGACAAGCACUUAGCAUCAAACUCAGUUUAUUGUGAGCCCCGACUCGGGUCCCCACGCCUGCAUGGCAAGUGCUUUACCAGCAGCGCUUCCCUACCCCAGCUCCUUAGCUGACUGUUAUCUUAGUCUUUGGGAUCUAUUUUCCAGACGACAUGACAUGCUCAGCUUCACUUUAUAAUCGGAUUCGGCAGCAUCCUGCUCUUGUCUCUCUCACAGAGGCAGUACCUCUUCACCACCGCUUUCUGUAAUGGGGGCUCUCCUUUAACACCUGCCAUUCUUUAGCUUCAUUUAAUGGGACACCCUAGAGAGGAGGCUGGGGGUCUUGAGGAGGUAAACCAUUGAUGGCUGGGCUUCAUCCUAGUGUAAUACAGAUCAAUGAAUUCAGAACCUGCAGUUCCUGCCUCUAAAGGGAAACUAAUUCCCCACUCUCUUUCUUGGGUCAUAUAGAGAUCGAGAGCAAACACAUCAAGCUUUGGGGGACAAAGCAGAGGGUACAUGAUUUUAUUUAUUUUUUGUUAAAGUUUUUGAAAUCUAUUUUCUUACAUGAGUACACUGUGGCUGUCUUCAGACACACACUAGAAGAUCCCAUUACAGAUGGUUGUGAGCCACUAUGUAGUUGCUGGGAAUUUAACUCAGAACCUCGGGAACACCAGUCAGUAUUCUUAACUGCUGAGCUAUCUCUCCAGCCCCACACAUGUUUUUUUUUUUUUUAAUUUAAUCUUUCAUUUUAUAGAAGAUGUAUUCCUUAAAUCUACCUUACAUUACUAACAUGUUUAAAAUGGUAUGCAGUAAUUUUAUGUAUUACAGGGCACAUGUGACAUUUCCUUUUUUUGUGUGCAGUGCUAAGGACUGAGCCCAGGGCCUCGUGUGUGCAAGAACUCCAGCCCUUAAUCUUUGCUCUGGGAAGUGUCUUUCUGUAUAGCCAUUCAGAAUGCAAAUUUACCCUUACCUGACAUCAAGUGCCAGUGUUUAUUAACUGCCCCUUGCCUUCCAGCCCGAGUCACUGUGCCUCCCUUUCCAUGGAGAGUGAGUUUUACAAGAAUGAAGAGUGAGGUAAAGGCAAAUGGGCAGCGUCACGGACACUGCAAAGAGAAGCUCCCACAGCGAGUCAGUCACUGGGUGGUUCUUUUUCAAGGUCUUUGGCCAAUACAUUCUUGUCUUGGGCCCAAACACUGUGGCUCCAUUUUGUAAUUCUAUUCUGUUUCAUAACUAUCCUAAUGGAUGUGCAACCUGUAAUUUAAGUUUUGAGUAGUAUUAUUUUCUUGUAGUUGUCUUAAAGAGAGGUUAAUUCCCCCGACCCCCUGCAGCCCCCAAAUCAAAUACAAGACUUUCUGGAGGCAGAGCCAGUAUUGGGGAGUGAACCUGGACUGACACAAGCUAAGCGAGUGUUCUCCACUGAGUUAUAUCCUCAGCUCUAUUCUUAACUAAAAAUAAUAAAAAAAAAUUUCUGAUACAGGCUCUCCUCAGGGUGCUCAGAAAAUGCACGACUUCACUCUGUAGUAUAAGCUUCCUCAAACUAACUCGGAUAGUUUCUGUCUCCCCGUAACCAGGAUUGUAAGCUAUGCCUCUCGGGACAGCUACAGUUUUCUUGAAAAACUUUACUAUCCGAGAAGGUUGGAGUCUUUUAUCGUUUGCCCCUCCCCUCGAGACAAUCAGCUCCUCAGCACUGUGUCAGUCUGUGUGUGAGCCUGUGAGUCCUGGGUACUGCACAGGGAGGCCCACAGGCUCCAGGGUUCCGGGGACAGCCGGUCACAAAGAUCACAGGAACAUCUCCUUGAAGUCCUCUGAGCUCUGCAGGUGGCAGAUCAGAGACAAAGGGGUUCCCUUGGGGGAAUCCUGAGUGUGGACAGACAAACAAAUGCUGGGACUUAUCACUUUCCCUAACUCUUACUGUUCUCAGUCUGAUAGGGGAGAGAGGGCCAGAGGCAGGACGCUGCGGCCAGAUAAGAGAGGAGGAGACAAAGAAGCUUGGUACACGAUAUGGCCGAGUUUGGUCUUGAAAGUGUGAGGUUCUCAAGUUCAACCUGACGAGAGCUGGCUGUCCACACUAAGGCUAUGUUGGCAACCUGUGAGCGUGCAAUUAUGUCCUACUUUUCAGUUCAUGUGUUACUUCCUUGACAUCCUUCUGAAGAGAACAAAACAGGAAUUUGAUUUUAUACCUUUAAAGGACAUCAAGUCGCAACCCACUGUCAGCCUCCACCCCAACGCCCCUGUCUGCAACCUUAGGCCAGACCAUCCUGAGCAUACUACACAUAUGGUAUAACAUAUCCACUUGUUAAUCUGAGAUACAGAACCAGACAGAUAUCAAACUCACCUUUAUCAUUGUCUCAUAACGAGCUGCUAUUUAAACCCUGGAAUUUCUGGAAUGAUUGAAAAAUCUGAUUUUUUUAAAACCUGAACUUUUAGUAGGACAACAUAGUGCCUGUUGCUGUGAAGAUUAGUGCUGGGUGGGUUUGGUCAACUUGAUAUAAACUUAGGCAUAUCAGGGAAGGCAGGAAUCUCAACUGAGGAAUUGCCUCCAUCAGACUGGCCUGUAGGAAGGUCCGUGUGGUGGGCAUUUUUAUUGAUUAAUGAUUGAUGGGGGAGGGUCAAGAUCUCUGUUGGCAAUGUUACUCCUGAUCAAGGUGGUCCUAGGGUAUGUAAGCUGAGCAAGCUCUGAAGAGAGAGAGGCAGUAAGCAACAUCUCUCCACGGCCUCUGCUUCAGUUCCUGCCUUGAAGCUUGCCCUGACUUCCCUUCAUGAUGCAAUGCAAACUGUGAGCUGAGGUAGACCUCUUCCUUCCCAGGUUGUUUUUGGUUAUGGUGUGUAACACAGGGACAGAAACCUAAGUAGGACAAGAUCAAGACAAAACCAUCUUUAUGCGACUGGAGAGAUGGCUCAGCAGUUAAGGACACCUGUUGCUCUUCCAGAGGACCUGGGUUUAAUUCCCAACGCCCACAUGGUGGCUCAUGACCAUCUAACCACAGUUCCAGGGGAUUCCAUGUCCUCUUAUGACCUCCAUGGUGACUGGGUGUGCAUGUGGAACCCAAAUAUACAUGCAAACAAGACACUCAUCCCCAUACAACAAAAGUAAGGCUCCGAAAGGUUUAAACUUCCAGAAGCCCUUGAUCGCUGCAUAGGUGUGUAUGUGAGUGUGAGUGUGAGUGUGAGUGUAAGCAGGCACGGCGUGCCAUCAUGUGCUUACGGAGGCCAGAGCACAACUUCUGGCAGUUUUCCCUUCCCACGAUGGAGACCCCACUCAGGUGGUCAGGCUUGAGUGGCAAGCACCUUUACCCACUGUACCAUUUUACUGGCCC